This 327-nucleotide ribosomal RNA is filed under the name uncultured eukaryote. RNAcentral's name for it is "partial 18S ribosomal RNA". It matches the Rfam family "Eukaryotic small subunit ribosomal RNA", at positions 1470 to 1796 of the family's 1831-position model. The record is from RNAcentral.
CCCUUAGAUGUUCUGGGCCGCACGCGCGCUACACUGACGAAUGCAACGAGCUUAUAACCUUGGCCGAAAGGUCUGGGUAAUCUCCAAAUUUCGUCGUGAUGGGGAUAGAUUAUUGCAAUUAUUAAUCUUCAACGAGGAAUGCCUAGUAAGCGCAAGUCAUCAGCUUGCGUUGAUUACGUCCCUGCCCUCUGUACACACCGCCCGUCGCUCCUACCGAUUGAAUGGUCCGGUGAAGCGUUCGGACCGUGGCCUUUGGACGGUUCGCCGUCUGUUGGCUGCGGGAAGUUCGUUAAACCUUAUCAUUUAGAGGAAGGAGAAGUCGUAACA